This 3347-nucleotide long non-coding RNA is filed under the name Geospiza fortis (medium ground-finch). RNAcentral's name for it is "lncRNA (ENSGFOG00000007290.1)". The record is from RNAcentral. Lineage: Eukaryota; Metazoa; Chordata; Aves; Passeriformes; Thraupidae.
ACCAAAAUCCCAAAUCCCAAACAUCCCAAACCCCAAACUCCCAAAUCUCAAACAAACACCAAAAUCCCAAACACCAAAAUUCCACCCCCAAAAUUCCAAUCCCUAAACCCCAAAACCCCCAAAUCCCCAAACCCCAAGUCCCCAAACCCCAAUACCAAAAUCCCAAAUCCCAAACAUCCCAAAACCCCAAAUCUCAAACAAACACCAAAAUCCCAAACACCAAAAUUCCAACACCAGAACUUUAUUGGCACAGAGAACUCCAACAGUCCCAGCCCCAAACUGAACAAAAAGCCCAAAACUGGUCACCAAAAACCCCAAAACUGGUCACCAAAAAGGCCAAAAUUGGUCACCAAAAAGCCCAAAAUUGGAUUUUUUUUCCCCAGAAAAACCCCGUGGUGGUUUCAGCAUAUUCUGAUUUUCCAGGUGUUUUAUUGCUCAAACCCACCUUGGGCUGUGCUUGGCCACUCAGCUCUGAGCUAUGCAGGAUUCAAAAUUUAAUUUAAUUUAAAAUGUUGUUUUAAUUAGGGUAGGAAGAAGCCAAAAGGAGAAUAUUUGGAUUUUUUUGAGGGUUUUAUUUGGGUAAAAUAAAAGUUGGAAAUAGAGUGGGAAGUCAAGAGGAAAAAACCAAAAACUUGUAGAUUGAUUUUUGGGAAAUAAUUCCAGUUUUUGGUGAGGAAUCCCAUCCCAAAAAUGGAUUUUGACCCCAAAAAUCCUGCUCUGCACCCCAGAGGAAUUCCAAAUUCCAGCAAAAACCAAAUGGAUUCGAUGAAAAUAAAAAUGCGUAUCUCCUCCAAAGGGCCAAAGCCACAACAAAAAUCCAAAUUCAGCAGCACAGGCAGCAGNNNNNNNNNNNNNNNNNNNNNNNNNNNNNNNGUCCAGCUCUAUUUUUAUUCCACCAAAGGGAAACUGACACCAAAAUGGGGGGAAAAUCCUCAUUUUCCCUCUCUUGGGAUGGAAACUGCAGGGAAAGGAGGGAAUCUGGGGUGGGAUUCCAGGGAAAAUCCGGAAUUUGGGAGGGAAAAUCCAAAAUUUGGGAGGGAAAAUCCAAAGUUUGGGUGGAAUUCCAGGGGAAAUCCAAAAUUUGGGAGGGAAAAUUCAGAAUUUGGGAGGGAAAAUCCCGAAUUUGGGAGGGAAUUCCAGGGAAAAUCCAAAGUUUGGGUGGAAUUCCAGGGGAAAUCCAGAAUUUGGAGUGGAAGAUCCCGAACUUGGGGUGGAUCCCAGGGGAACUCCAGAGUUUGGAGUGGAAAAUCCAAAAUUGGGGACGGAAUUUCAGGGAAAACGGAGAGUUUGGGAUGGAAUUGCAGGGAAAAUCCAAAAUUUGGGAUGGAAAAUCUGGAACUUGGGAUGGAAUUCCAGGGAAAAAUCUGAGAUUUGGGGUGGAAAAUCCUGAAUUUGGGAUGGAAUUCCAGGGAAAAAUCUGAAAUUUGGGAUGGAAAAUCUGGAAUUUGGGGUGGAAAAUCUGGAAUUUGGGGUGGAAUUCCAGGGAAAAUCUGAGAUUUGGGGUGGAAAAUCCCGAAUUUGGGGUGGAAAAUCUGAGAUUUGGGGAUGGAAGAUGCAGAAUUUGGGGUGGAAACUGUGAAUUUUGGGAUCCCAGGGCAAAUCCGAGCGAACGCAGCAGAGAGAGCGCGGGAGGGAGGGGAGGGGCCCUGGGGUCUUCAUGGAAGAGAGCUGGAGCUGGAAUGAGAGAAACAGAGAGGAAAAGGGGAAAAAGGGAAAUGGGACAAAGCAGAAAUAAAGAGAAAAAAAAUGAGAGAAAAGAGGAAAAAGGGAGGGAAAAGGGAGGGAAAAGGAGAGGGAAAAAGAAAUAAAGAGAAAAAAAGGAGGGAAAAGGAAAAAAGGAGGGAAAAGGGAGGGGAAAAGGGAAAUAAAGAGAAAAAAGGAGAGAAAAGAAGAAAAAAGGAGGGGAAAAGAGAGGGAAAAAGAGGGAGAAAGAGAGGGAGAAAGAGAAAAAAAUGAGAGAAAAGGGAGGGAAAAGGGAGGGAAAAGGGAGGGAAAAGGGAGGGAAAAGGGAGGGAAAAAAGAAAUAAACAGGGAAAAAAAAANNNNNNNNNNNNNNNNNNNNNNNNNNNNNNNNNNNNNNNNNNNNNNNNNNNNNNNNNNNNNNNNNNNNNNNNNNNNNNNNNNNNNNNNNNNNNNNNNNNAACAGAAAAAAAGGAGAGAAAAGGGAGAGAAAAGGGAGGGAAAAAGAGAGGGAAAAAGAGAAAUAAAGAGAAAAAAAAAAGGAGGGAAAAGAGGGGAAAAAAGAGAGGGGAAAAAAGAGAAGAAGAGAUUCUCAGAAAUCCGAAAAACUUCAACAAAUGAAGAUUUUGGGGUCUCUCAGCACCUCCAGAAUCUCAAAACAAAAAACCUCCAGAAAUGAAAAUGUUGGGGUCACUCAGGACGCUCAGAACCCACCAAACCUGCCCCAGAAUUGCAGGAAAAGGAAGAAUUUGGGGGUGGAAUUGAAUUUUUGGGCUGCUUUGGCACUCACCUAUUUGUUUGCCCUUUUCUGUCUGUACAUCUGGAUCAUCCUCUGGCGAGCACCUCCAGAAUCUCAAAACAAAAAACCUCCAGAAAUGAAAAUGUUGGGGUCACUCAGGACGCUCAGAACCCACCAAACCUGCCCCAGAAUUGCAGGAAAAGGAAGAAUUUGGGGGUGGAAUUGAAUUUUUGGGCUGCUUUGGCACUCACCUAUUUGUUUGCCCUUUUCUGUCUGUACAUCUGGAUCAUCCUCUGGCGGAAAAUGUCAAAAGCUUUUUCUUGGUUUUCUUCCCCUGCCACUCCCAAACCCUCCCCAGCUGAGGUUGCACCCCUGGGGAAGAAAAUUUCACAAUUAGAACCAAAAAAAUCCGAUUUUUCCAAUCAAUUUUGCAUCAUUCGGUGCCUGGUGCAGCCAAUUAUUUUGAAUUAUUUUGAAUUAUUCUGAAUUUUAUUUUGAAUUAUUCUGAAUUAUUUUGAUUUUCUCCCACCAAUUCCCAUUAGAAGGUGAAUUCCCAGUUGAAAAAAAUGGGAUUUUGUGGGGAAAAAAAAAAACCCAAAUCAGGUGGGAGAGGGAAUUGUGGAAUAAGUUUUAAGUUUAGGUUUGGUUUUCUGGUGGAAAUAUCUUCAUUUUGGGAUUUCAGGAGUUAAAGCCCAGAGGAUUUGAGGAGGGAGCAGGAAAUGGCAAAGAAUUCUGGAUAAAAGGGAAUUUUAUGGGAAUUUAGGGAUUUUCCCCUAUUAAACACUCUUAAUUCCCUCAUUAAAAUAAUGAAUUUCCCCUAUUAAAAACCCUUAUUUCCCAUACAAAAACCUCUAUUUCCCCCCAUUUAAACCCUUUAUUUUCCCCUAUUAAAACCUCAAAAUUUCCCACACUAAAACUCUUAUUUUUC